Molecule: RNA transcript, 989 nt
Organism: Python bivittatus (Burmese python)
Lineage: Eukaryota; Metazoa; Chordata; Lepidosauria; Squamata; Pythonidae
Source: RefSeq, a predicted model, not a curated record
CAGAGUAAAAGACAGAGGCACCGUCUGUUCCUGGAACAGCAACCAACAGUCGAGAUACUAUUUUUUGCAAUGGUUGACUAAAUAUGGUCAGGGAAGAGAGAGGCAAAAGACAGCCUGGGAGUGGAUGUUUCAAAUGCCUAGCUGCCUAUAAAGCCGAAAUAGUUUUGCUAGUGCCCUGAUUAGCAAAUGGAUUCAUACUAAAUAGCAUGCAUGUGGAAGCCCUGACCUCAAAAGCAGUGUUUGACCUCUGAAGAUGAAAAAUAACUACAAGAAACCUGUCUGGGAACUAAAAUUCAAGCAUGAAGAAACCAAGUGCCAUAUCUAUGGAGAAAGAAACAAUACUUGCUUGGGAAGGAUGAUGGUGUUUGCUGAUUUUUUACAAUCUCAUGAACAUUUUUCAGUUAUUUUCAAUUACCUAAACAAGAUGAGAUUAUCCUUCUUUGGGUUUUCCUAGCAUCCACCCUGGAUAUUUCUGUUUUCAGUCCUGCAGGUUCAAGAAACUUAGUUCCAUGCAACAACACCUUAAUGUUUAGGAAAACACAACAGAUAUCUUAGCUGAAUCAGCGAUAGAGUGAACAUUCAAGAUGAGAUGGCUGCUGCUGAUGUCUCUCUCUAGGUCAUCCAACUGCAAAUGCUGCAUGAUAAGCUUACAGAGGGAAUAACCUGAGAGCACAGAAGGAGCACCUAUAGGGGCUGCUGUUGGUGGUCUACACUCACUCCAGUAUUCACUACCCAUGGUGAUCAUCUAUAAUGGCUAAAGGUGCCAAGGGCAGAAGUACAGCCUAAGACCAAAUAAGAUUGUAUCAAAACACUGUGCAGGUACUCUCAGAAAUGGGCAGGAAAAAGUCUGUUACCACAUAAGGAUAGAGAAAGAGACACAGAGCUUUAACCCUGAACCUGACAUAUUAACACAAUUGGAUUAAUAAAAAUUGCAGUAGUUGAUUUUUGUCAUUAUAGCAGCUUCUUUUGCAAUAAAAGCAAUUUAUGUA